Molecule: ribosomal RNA, 247 nt
Filed under: uncultured bacterium
Lineage: Bacteria
Description: partial 16S ribosomal RNA
Rfam family: Bacterial small subunit ribosomal RNA
Source: RNAcentral
UACGUAGGGUGCAAGCGUUAAUCGGAAUUACUGGGCGUAAAGCGUGCGCAGGCGGUGAUGUAAGACAGGUGUGAAAUCCCCGGGCUCAACCUGGGAAUGGCAUUUGGGACUGCAAGGCUGGAGUGCGGCAGAGGAGACUGGAAUUCCUGGUGUAGCAGUGAAAUGCGUAGAUAUCAGGAGGAAUACCGAUGGCGAAGGCAGGUCUCUGGGCUGACACUGACGCUCAUGCACGAAAGCGUGGGGAGCG